UCCUGGCUCAGAUUGAACGCUGGCGGCAUGCCUUACACAUGCAAGUCGAACGGCAGCGGACCUUCGGGUGCCGGCGAGUGGCGAACGGUGAGUAAUAUAUCGGAACGUACCUUCAGUGGGGGAUAACGUAGCGAAAGUUACGCUAAUACCGCAUAUUCUGUGAGCAGGAAAGCAGGGGAUCGCAAGACCUUGCGCUGAUUGAGCGGCCGAUAUCAGAUUAGCUAGUUGGUGAGGUAAAGGCUCACCAAGGCGACGAUCUGUAGCGGGUCUGAGAGGAUGAUCCGCCACACUGGAACUGAGACACGGUCCAGACUCCUACGGGAGGCAGCAGUGGGGAAUUUUGGACAAUGGGCGCAAGCCUGAUCCAGCCAUGCCGCGUGAGUGAAGAAGGCCUUCGGGUUGUAAAGCUCUUUCGGCCGGGAAGAAAUCGCACAGGUUAAUACCCUGUGUGGAUGACGGUACCGGAAUAAGAAGCACCGGCUAACUACGUG
RNAcentral lists this ribosomal RNA (491 nucleotides) under uncultured bacterium. RNAcentral describes it as "bacterial SSU rRNA". It matches the Rfam family "Bacterial small subunit ribosomal RNA", at positions 17 to 507 of the family's 1533-position model. The record is from RNAcentral.